This 442-nucleotide ribosomal RNA is filed under the name uncultured bacterium. RNAcentral's name for it is "bacterial SSU rRNA". It matches the Rfam family "Bacterial small subunit ribosomal RNA", at positions 958 to 1399 of the family's 1533-position model. The record is from RNAcentral.
AACGCGAAGAACCUUACCUGGGCUCGAACGGCUCACGAACGUCCUUGGAAACAGGGAUUUCCCGCAAGGGACGGGAGUCGAGGUGCUGCAUGGCUGUCGUCAGCUCGUGUCGUGAGAUGUUGGGUUAAGUCCCGCAACGAGCGCAACCCUUGUCCUGUGUUACCAUGCCGAAAGGCGGCACUCGCAGGAGACCGCCAGCGAUAAGCUGGAGGAAGGUGGGGAUGACGUCAAGUCCUCAUGGCCUUUAUGUCCAGGGCUACACACGUGCUACAAUGGGCGGUACAAAGCGCUGCUAAGCCGCAAGGUGGAGCCAAUCGCAAAAAGCCGCUCUCAGUUCGGAUUGCAGGCUGCAACUCGCCUGCAUGAAGCUGGAAUCGCUAGUAAUGCUAUAUCAGAACGAUAGCGUGAAUACGUUCCCGGGCCUUGUACACACCGCGUGUCU